Molecule: ribosomal RNA, 498 nt
Filed under: uncultured bacterium
Lineage: Bacteria
Description: partial 16S ribosomal RNA
Rfam family: Bacterial small subunit ribosomal RNA
Source: RNAcentral
GACGAACGCUGGCGGCGUGCCUAAUACAUGCAAGUCGAACGAGAGCGACCGGUGCUUGCACUGGUCAAUCUAGUGGCGAACGGGUGAGUAACACGUGGGUAACCUGCUCAUCAGAGGGGGAUAACAUCCGGAAACGGAUGCUAAAACCGCAUAGGUCUUCGAGCCGCAUGGCUUGAAGAGGAAAAGAGGCGCAAGCUUCUGCUGAUGGAUGGACCCGCGGUGCAUUAGCUAGUUGGUGAGGUAACGGCUCACCAAGGCCGUGAUGCAUAGCCGACCUGAGAGGGUGAGCGGCCACAUUGGGACUGAGACACGGCCCAGACUCCUACGGGAGGCAGCAGUAGGGAAUCUUCCGCAAUGGACGCAAGUCUGACGGAGCAACGCCGCGUGAGUGAAGAAGGUUUUCGGAUCGUAAAACUCUGUUGUUAGAGAAGAACAAGUGCUAGAGUAACUGUUAGCGCCUUGACGGUAUCUAACCAGAAAGCCACGGCUAACUACGUG